Molecule: ribosomal RNA, 490 nt
Filed under: uncultured bacterium
Lineage: Bacteria
Description: partial 16S ribosomal RNA
Rfam family: Bacterial small subunit ribosomal RNA
Source: RNAcentral
GACGAACGCUGGCGGCGUGCUUAACACAUGCAAGUCGAGCGGAAAGGCCCUUUCGGGGGUACUCGAGCGGCGAACGGGUGAGUAACACGUGAGUGAUCUGCCCUUGGCUUUGGGAUAACCACCGGAAACGGUGGCUAAUACCGGAUACGACCACUCCCGGCAUCGGGUGGGGGUGGAAAGGUUUUUCGGCCAGGGAUGUGCUCGCGGCCUAUCAGCUUGUUGGUGGGGUAAUGGCCUACCAAGGCUUCGACGGGUAGCCGGCCUGAGGGGGUGACCGGCCACACUGGGACUGAGACACGGCCCAGACUCCUACGGGAGGCAGCAGUGGGGAGUAUUGGACAAUGGGCGGAAGCCUGAUCCAGCAACGCCGCGUGAGGGAUGACGGCCUUCGGGUUGUAAACCUCUUUCAGUACCGACGAAGCGCCGAUGAUGGCGGUGACGGUAGGUACAGAAGAAGCACCGGCCAACUACGUGCCAGCAGCCGCCGUAA